Molecule: long non-coding RNA, 561 nt
Organism: Tympanuchus pallidicinctus (lesser prairie-chicken)
Lineage: Eukaryota; Metazoa; Chordata; Aves; Galliformes; Phasianidae
Exons: 3
Source: RefSeq, a predicted model, not a curated record
AAUAGCAGCCCUUUCUCCAAAUCUCAGGUUACUUCGCUAAAGAGUUCUCAGCCCUAUAGUUUCAGCCCUUGUCUCUGCCUCCAGCUCCUUAAGAGCCACCCAGCCCCAGCGAUCGGAUUGGGCAGCCCGCCUUGACACACCACUGUGCUGAGUGCUUGAGGACGUGUUUCAACAGAUGGUUGGGGUUAGUGUGUGUCAUCACACUCGAGUGGGGAUUAGGGCAGAGAGGCAGCCCGGCUGGAGCUGUGUGGUCUUCCCCAAGUGGGAGCUGCGAGCAAAAGAAGAACCACCUAGCUUUGGGGGAGAAGAGAGAGGAAUCCUCUCCAGCAGCUCAGAGGGGAAAAUAAAAACCCCACACUUUAUUCAGAGCAACAACCUGAUUUGUUUCUUCGCGCUGUAACAGAUCUUCACACUGACUCGCACAUACCUGUGUGCCUAUGAGUUACUGGCCUCCUACUUGUGAAGGAAAUCUCACACUCUCCUCACCACUUACAGCCUGUCUGUGAGAAGCCUAUAAGCCAGCUUCAGCACGCAGUGCUUCAGCCAUCCAAGCAGAAUAAG